GGGGUUCAAAUGUUAUUACAAAAAUAAUAUAGUGGAGAAGUAAUACAGUUCUUAUGGAGUCUUUUUUGAAGAUGAUUUUGAAGUUUCUUGUGUUGGUAUUUGUUUCAACGAGUACUAUUGUUGGAGGUGUAUCGUACCGAGGCAUUCAAAACGUGCCAUGCUUGCCAUGCAUAGAUCCUACAUCUGAUGUAUGUUGUCGUCCUCCUUCUUCUCCUCCUAAGAGUACUAUUGCUGAAGGUGUAUCUAACAUAGGCCUUCAAAACGUGCCAUGCUUGCCCUGCGUAGAUCCUACAUCUGAUAUAUGUUGUCGCCCUCCAGAGAGUGCUACAAAGUCUUAGAUCUUAUUAGGGCUUGAGAUUAACCUUUAAAGCUCUUAAGUAUGAAAUAAAAUGUUUUUAUAUCCUUGUGUUUUGGAGUUCCUUGAAAAUAAGGAUUUAAUGAUGUGUAUUUUAUUCUUGUGCUUUAUGCUUAGACUAAAAAUUAUUUCUGCGA
RNAcentral lists this long non-coding RNA (492 nucleotides) under Lathyrus oleraceus (garden pea). Its description in RNAcentral is "Pisum sativum (pea) long non-coding RNA (PSAT_LNC035946)". The record is from RNAcentral. Lineage: Eukaryota; Viridiplantae; Streptophyta; Magnoliopsida; Fabales; Fabaceae.